RNAcentral lists this long non-coding RNA (237 nucleotides) under Physcomitrium patens. RNAcentral's name for it is "long non-coding RNA (PPAT_LNC001450)". Lineage: Eukaryota; Viridiplantae; Streptophyta; Bryopsida; Funariales; Funariaceae. The record is from RNAcentral.
UCUUGUAUAUAUUUUAAAAAUAAAUUAAAAAGAUGUAUAUAUAUAUAUGGUUUUAAAAAAUUUGUUAGAAUCUUAUAUGGACAUGGUUUUUAUUUGGAGAUAUAAGUUGGCAAUUUAAAGAUUUUUGAGUUUGAAAAAUGGUGUAUCAAUCCAUGUAAAGAAGACAAGACCAUUUGUAUUAUUUGAUUUUUUUUUUCCUAAUUUAUUCUCUUUUUUUAAUUUCUUAAAAUAAUUCAU